GAUGAACGCUGGCGGCGUGCCUAAUACAUGCAAGUCGAACGGCAGGACGAGAGUGUUGCUUCUACUGCGUGAGAGGGGCGCGGGGGUGAAAAAUGUGUCUAACCGACCUGAGUAACGGGGAAAAACUAGGGAAAAGGGAGCUUAUAACGGAUAAGAUCUUGAGGCGCAAAGGGGGAAAGAGCAAGACGGCGUUGCUGUCACGUAUCGGAGGAUCGGCGCUGGAUUGGGUAGUUGGUAGGGUAACGGCCUACCAAGGCAACGAGGCAUAGCCGAGCUGAGAGGCUGAUCGGCCACACUGGAACUGAGACACGGACCAGACUCCUACGGGAGGCAGCAGUAGGGAAUCUUCCGCAAUGGGCGAAAGCCUGACCCAGCAACGCCGCGUGUGUGAUGAAGGCCUUCGGAUCGUAAAGUUCUGUUAUUAGGGAAGAACAGAUGUGUACUUAUCCGUGCACUUCUUGACGGUACCUAAUCAAAAAGCCCCGGCUAACUACGUG
Molecule: ribosomal RNA, 497 nt
Filed under: uncultured bacterium
Lineage: Bacteria
Description: partial 16S ribosomal RNA
Rfam family: Bacterial small subunit ribosomal RNA
Source: RNAcentral